ACAAAGUUGGUCAGAUGUUGGAGUUCUUACUAUGAUUAAAGACUUUGUGUCUUAAGAUCAUGUGAGAAUGUUAAGGAAUUUAUGCCAUACAUUCAGGUUUCUGACACAAAAAUGUUGUGAAGGUUCCCUUGUGAAUGAACAAAUUUUAAAUCUUCAUCAUGUGAAGGUGAAAAUUCUCACUAGUAGAAUAGAUAAGGUUGGUCACAAAAUUAACAAAGUUGGUCAAAAGAUUGAGAAAGUUGGCCACAAGAAUGACAAAGUUGACUGUAACUAACAAAUUAACUGUUGAUCUAUGAAGUGCAAAAUCAAGAACGUAACUCUCAAUAUAAGGCCAAACAGGAGGCAAUCUGAGGAAAGCCACGCUCUUUAUCCUCCAGCCACCUAAGGAAGCCUUUAAGUGCUAAACUUGUUUUAGAUUAGGAUUCAAGAAGAAAAUAGGACAGAUUUCUGUUGCCUCAGUCCUUGCCCUGUAAAACUAGAGUCUUAGCAUGUGCCAAGUCAGGAAAGAAUGUUCUAAAAUCAUUGUUCUAAUUAGAUACCAUAUGCUGGCUAUCAUGUAAGACAAAAACUGUUGAAUAAUACUUUUAGCAAUAUUCAAUAAUUAGGACAGGUGUUAUAAUGCUUUUAGAACCUAUUGCAAAUGUUCAAACUAACAGUUACUAUUAUAUAUAAUAUCAAUUGCACGUUUUUUACUUACAGAGGCAAUAGCCUGUCUAAGUUACUCUAACCAAUCAGUGUUCAGAACUUAAAAUUCAUUAUUGUAUAUAGCCUUACAAAUACAUGUAUAGUUAGCCCUUGUGAUAUAGUACAACUGUUUGUUACAUCAUUGUGGAAGGCUAUGACAUCACUUCCUGUAUGCUAUGACAUCACUUCCUGUAUGCUAUGACAUCAAUUCCUGUGAGACCAAAUCACCUUGAAAUUUAAAGUGUUGUUGAAAAUAGCCAGGGAAGUUAAGCACUAGUAUUUUGUUACUGUUUUUGUUGAUUACAAACAAUUGUAACUGCAAUUUUCAGAUGUUGGUUUAGCCAGUACAGUUAGGUAAAGAAGAGGAGAUGUUCAAAUAAAGACAUGCAGUCUUUUCGUCAGUAUAGUA
Branchiostoma floridae (Florida lancelet) is the source of this 1093-nucleotide long non-coding RNA. RefSeq lists it as uncharacterized. The record is from RefSeq and is a predicted model, not a curated record. The transcript has 2 exons. NCBI's taxonomy places the organism in Eukaryota, Metazoa, Chordata, Leptocardii, Amphioxiformes, Branchiostomatidae.